CUUGUCUUAAGGAUUAAGCCAUGCAUGUCUAAGUGCGGUGUACUCAAACACGCCAGACUGCGGACGGCUCAUUAUAACAGUUAUAGUUUAUUUGAUGGUUCUUUUACGUGGAUAACCGUGGUAAUUCUAGAGCUAAUACAUGCCAAAAUCCCCGAGCCUCCGGGCGAGGGGAGCAUUUAUUAGAUGCCGAACCCAAUGGCCUCCGGGCCUAAUUGAGGACUCAUAAUAACUCAAGCAGAUCGUUCGAACGAACGGCGUAUCAUUCAAGUUUCUGACCUAUCAGUUAGUCGGUAGUGUAUUGGACUACUGAGGCUCUGACGGGUAACGGAGAAUUAGGGUUCGAUUCCGGAGAGGGAGCCUGAGAAACGGCUACCACAUCUAAGGAAGGCAGCAGGCGCGUAACUUACCCAAUCCUGACUCAGGGAGGUAGUGACAAGAAAUCACAAUAUUUCGCUCAAUUGAGCAAAGUAAUUGGAUUGAGAACAGGCUAAACAUGUUAACGAUAAACCAUUGGAGGGCAAGUCUGGUGCCAGCAGCCGCGGUAAUUCCAGCUCCAAUAGCGUAUACUAACGUUGUUGCAGUUAAAAAGCUCGUAGUUGGAUUUUUAGUNGCGCGGACCGGCCGUGGCCUUUAGUGUCGUGUGCCUGGUUCGUCGUGACUAUUUUGGCCCAGCGUGUCGUUGGCAUUAGUUUGUCGACGGCUCCGCCAGGUCGAGUUUACUUUGAGAAAAUUAGAGUGUUCAAAACAGUCAAUCGAUUGUAUAUCAUAGCAUGGAAUAAUAACUGAUGACCUCGGUCACCUUUUGUUGGGUUCAGAUGGCUGAGUUA
This 827-nucleotide ribosomal RNA is filed under the name Eucyrtidium trochus. RNAcentral describes it as "SSU rRNA". It matches the Rfam family "Eukaryotic small subunit ribosomal RNA", at positions 31 to 865 of the family's 1831-position model. The record is from RNAcentral. Lineage: Eukaryota; Polycystinea; Nassellaria; Theoperidae.